Paramisgurnus dabryanus is the source of this 275-nucleotide long non-coding RNA. RefSeq lists it as uncharacterized. Lineage: Eukaryota; Metazoa; Chordata; Actinopteri; Cypriniformes; Cobitidae. The record is from RefSeq and is a predicted model, not a curated record.
GUUUUCGUAAAUGCAUUUCAGAGAAAAGUGAAUUCUGAGAUUUGAAUAAUGCAUCUGACGUGUGUGUGAUGACGUCACGACGCACGUAUUUUGAUUUUUACCAGUCGUUCAAGGCGGACGGAUUCAGUCCCAAGAAGCUAAAGUUUUUCAAAGACAUUUGUAGGGAGGACUUUGCAGCUAAUGGAGCUGAAGUAUUUUAUGUAAGGAGGAUUUUGCAGCCCAUAUAGGCAAGUCAUUAUAAUGAAAACUCUUAGGGGUGGUUUCCCAGACAGGGA